This 216-nucleotide long non-coding RNA is filed under the name Elaeis guineensis (African oil palm). Its description in RNAcentral is "long non-coding RNA (EGUI_LNC012606)". The record is from RNAcentral. Lineage: Eukaryota; Viridiplantae; Streptophyta; Magnoliopsida; Arecales; Arecaceae.
UGACUCCUCACAAAGACUACCCUGACCAAAGUUUUGCUAAAUUGAAACAUGACUGUACACAGCUCCUAAACUGGAGUGGUCAAUCCCAUCUUGACACACGCACCGACAAGUCAAGUACUUGACUACACCCAGCAGCCUUCCAUCACUGAAUUAGAAAUUCAGGUAGUCCAGUGCCUAAGUGUAGUGAGUUACUUGCAAGUCACCGUGGCGGUCUCA